GAUGAACGCUAGCUACAGGCUUAACACAUGCAAGUCGAGGGGAAGCGCCAUCGACAGCUUGCUUUUGAUUGGCGUCGACCGGCGCGCGGGUGAGUAACGCGUAUCCCACCUACCCAUCACUUGGGUAUAACCUUGCGAAAGUAAGACUAAUACACAAUGACAUCCCACGAAGACAUAUGAAUAGGACUAACGAUUUAUCGGUGAUGGAUGGGGCUGCGUCUGAUUAGCUUGUUGGCGGGGUAACGGCUCACCAAGGCAACGAUCAGUAGGGGUUCUGAGAGUAAGCCCCCCCACAAUGGAACUGCGGCACGGUCCACUCUCCUACGGAGCGCAGCAGUGUGUACUAUUGUUCACUGGGCGCUAGCCUGACCCAGCCAAGUAGCGUGCAGGAUUCCGGCCCUCUUGGUUCUAAACUGCUUUUAUAAGGGAAUAAUGUGGGUCUCUGUAGACUUUUUGCCUGUACCUUAUGAAUAAGCACCGGCUAAUUCCGUG
Molecule: ribosomal RNA, 492 nt
Filed under: uncultured bacterium
Lineage: Bacteria
Description: partial 16S ribosomal RNA
Rfam family: Bacterial small subunit ribosomal RNA
Source: RNAcentral